This 396-nucleotide ribosomal RNA is filed under the name uncultured bacterium. Its description in RNAcentral is "partial 16S ribosomal RNA". It matches the Rfam family "Bacterial small subunit ribosomal RNA", at positions 523 to 918 of the family's 1533-position model. The record is from RNAcentral.
AUACGUAGGUGACAAGCGUUAUCCGGAUUUACUGGGCGUAAAGGGCGUGUAGGCGGUCUUGCAAGUCAGAAGUGAAAUUCCUGAGCUCAACUCGGGCGCUGCUUCUGAAACUGCAGGACUUGAGUGCUGGAGGGGAUAGCGGAAUUCCUAGUGGAGCGGUAAAAUGCGCAGAUAUUAGGAAGAACGCCGGUGGCGAAGGCGGCUAUCUGGACAGUAACUGACGCUGAGGCGCGAAAGCGUGGGGAGCAAACAGGAUUAGAUACCCUGGUAGUCCACGCGGUAAACGAUGAUCACUAGGUGUCCGUGGGUAUGACCCAUGGGUGCCGCAGCCAACGCAAUAAGUGAUCCACCUGGGGAGUACGUUCGCAAGAAUGAAACUCAAAUGAAUUGACGGGG